UGAGAGGCCCAUGAGCUAUUCCGGAGAUUACACCCUAUCCUGCAGCUGGUUCCAGGCUCCAAGAAUGGACUGGCAGGAAUGGACCUCCCUCCCUGUCCCUUUAUAAGCACUUUUGCUAUUAAACAUUUGAGCUUUGAUCAGGAACCUUGACUUAGCUCCAUUUUUCUCAACCGCCCAGUUCCCCUCUCUUUUCUUCCCUGGCUUGCCUCCCAGGUGAAACCCGGUCCAAGUGAGCCGUGGGUUGGCUUCCAACAGUCUGAUGUCUGAACAGGGACCUGAGGAAUGGCAGAAAAAUGCUGGAGGAACGCUGCUUGGUAUGGAGCUCCACAGGAAGAAAAAGAAAAGGAUCAUACCGGCACCGAAGCAACAGGUGCAUCAGGAUCAAGCUGAGGGUCGCCAGGUGUUUCAUCUUCUUCCACUUUGCUUUCUCUCCAUGGCCUCGUCCAUCAUUCUGGAACUCAGACUGGGUUCUCCUGAUCCUGUGGAAACACACAGACAUCUCCUCGGGACCAUGCCAACACCUGAUCUGGACCUUUCCAUUGUCCCGUGAGGACAUCCAUCCAUAGCACAGACACGGCCGCACCCUGCUGAGGGGUACAAUGCCAUUCUGCAGAUGAUUUUCCAUUCUUAUCCAAAUUUUAAAAAUUAGGAAUAAAGAGGCUUAUAUUUAA
Molecule: long non-coding RNA, 671 nt
Filed under: Mus musculus (house mouse)
Lineage: Eukaryota; Metazoa; Chordata; Mammalia; Rodentia; Muridae
Description: predicted gene, 49455
Source: RNAcentral